This 397-nucleotide ribosomal RNA is filed under the name uncultured bacterium. RNAcentral describes it as "bacterial SSU rRNA". It matches the Rfam family "Bacterial small subunit ribosomal RNA", at positions 28 to 429 of the family's 1533-position model. The record is from RNAcentral.
GACGAACGCUGGCGGCGUGCUUAACACAUGCAAGUCGAGCGGUAAGGCCCUUUCGGGGGUACGACGAGCGGCGAACGGGUGAGUAACACGUGGGUGACCUGCCCUCAGCUCUGGGAUAAGCCUGGGAAACCGGGUCUAAUACCGGAUAUGACUCCAUGACGCAUGUUGUGGGGUGGAAAGCCUUGUGCGGCUGAGGAUGGGCCCGCGGCCUAUCAGCUUGUUGGUGGGGUGAUGGCCUACCAAGGCGACGACGGGUAGCCGGCCUGAGAGGGCGACCGGCCACACUGGGACUGAGACACGGCCCAGACUCCUACGGGAGGCAGCAGUGGGGAAGUCUUGCGCAAUGGGCGAAAGCCUGACGCAGCGACGCCGCGUGAGGGAUGACGGCCUGUGUAAC